This 507-nucleotide ribosomal RNA is filed under the name uncultured bacterium. Its description in RNAcentral is "partial 16S ribosomal RNA". It matches the Rfam family "Bacterial small subunit ribosomal RNA", at positions 28 to 507 of the family's 1533-position model. The record is from RNAcentral.
GACGAACGCUGGCGGCGUGCCUAAUACAUGCAAGUCGAACGCAUUUUCUGUCACCGGAGCUUGCUACACCGGAAGAAAAUGGGUGGCGGACGUGUGAGUAACACUUGGGUAACCUGCCCAGCAGCGGGGGAUAACACUUUGAAACGGGUGCUAAUACCGCAUAAUUCCAUUUGCCGCAUGGGAGAUGGAUGGAAGGCGCUGUUGCGUCACUGAUGGAUGGACCCGCGGUGCAUGAGCUAGUGGGUGGGGUAACGGCCUAGCAAUGCUGCGAUGCAUAGCCGACCUGAGAGGGUGCUCGGCAAAACUGGGACUGAGACACGGCCCAGAAUACUACGGGAGGCAGAAGUAGGGAAUCUUCGGCAAUGGCAACAAGUCUGACCGAGCAACGCCGCGUGAGUGCAGAAGCUUUUAGGAUCGUAAAACUCUGUUGUUAGAGAAGAACAAGGAUGAGAGUGGAAAGUUAAUACAUUGACGGUAUCUAAACAGAAAGCCACGGCUAACUACGUG